CCCCCUAUGAUGAAACUGGCAAACAUACUGGACUUAGAAUCCAGGUUCUGUAGGUUCGAGUCCUACUAGGGGUACCA
Molecule: transfer RNA, 77 nt
Filed under: Caudoviricetes sp.
Lineage: Duplodnaviria; Heunggongvirae; Uroviricota; Caudoviricetes
Description: tRNA-Leu
Rfam family: tRNA
About the family: Transfer RNA (tRNA) molecules are approximately 80 nucleotides in length.
Source: RNAcentral